Molecule: ribosomal RNA, 377 nt
Filed under: Litaneutria minor
Lineage: Eukaryota; Metazoa; Arthropoda; Insecta; Mantodea; Amelidae
Description: partial 12S ribosomal RNA
Source: RNAcentral
UAGAUACCCUAUUAUUUUUAUUGUAAAAAUUAAAGCCGGAGUAUUAGUAGUUAAGGUCUUGAAACUUAAAGAAUUUGGCGGUAUUAUAGUCUAUUUAGAGGAAUCUGUUAUGUAAUCGAUAAUCCGCGUUGAAUCUUACUUAUAUUAAUUCUUGUAUACCGCUGUUUGUGAAUAUACUUUAAGGUGAAUUUUCUGGAUAUAUAAUUAAUUAAAAGUUCAAGUCAAGGUGCAGUAAUAUAUAAGUUGAAUAAUGGAUUACAAUAAAUUGUAUUUAUUUAUGGAUAAUUAUUUUGAAAUAAUUUGAAGGUGGAUUUAAUUGUAAUUUUAUGAAGAUUGUUAAAAUGAUAAAUAGCUCUAUAGUAUGCACACAUCGCCCG